RNAcentral lists this ribosomal RNA (301 nucleotides) under uncultured bacterium. Its description in RNAcentral is "partial 16S ribosomal RNA". It matches the Rfam family "Bacterial small subunit ribosomal RNA", at positions 509 to 809 of the family's 1533-position model. The record is from RNAcentral.
CAGCAGCCGCGGGAAUACGUAGGGUGCAAGCGUUAAUCGGAAUUACUGGGCGUAAAGCGUGCGCAGGCGGUUAUAUAAGUCAGAUGUGAAAUCCCCGGGCUCAACCUGGGAACUGCAUUUGAGACUGUAUGGCUAGAGUGUGUCAGAGGGGGGUAGAAUUCCACGUGUAGCAGUGAAAUGCGUAGAUAUGUGGAGGAAUACCGAUGGCGAAGGCAGCCCCCUGGGAUAACACUGACGCUCAUGCACGAAAGCGUGGGGAGCAAACAGGAUUAGAUACCCCAGUAGUCCCUGUCUUUAUACA